CCUACGGGUUGCAGCAGUGGGGAAUAUUGCACAAUGGGCGCAAGCCUGAUGCAGCCAUGCCGCGUGUAUGAAGAAGGCCUUCGGGUUGUAAAGUACUUUCAGCGGGGAGGAAGGCGAUAAGGUUAAUAACCUUGUCGAUUGACGUUACCCGCAGAAGAAGCACCGGCUAACUCCGUGCCAGCAGCCGCGAUAAUACGGAGGGGGCAAGCGUUAAUCGAAAUUACUGGGCGUAAAGCGCACGCAGGCGGUCUGUCAAGUCGGAUGUGAAAUCCCCGGGCUCAACCUGGGAACUGCAUUCGAAACUGGCAGGCUGGAGUCUUGUAGAGGGGGGUAGAAUUCCAGGUGUAGCGGUGAAAUGCGUAGAGAUCUGGGGGAAUACCGGUGGCGAAGGCGGCCCCCUGGACAAAGACUGACGCUCAGGUGCGAAAGCGUGGGGAGCAAACAGGAUUAAAUACCCGCGUAGUC
Molecule: ribosomal RNA, 465 nt
Filed under: uncultured bacterium
Lineage: Bacteria
Description: bacterial SSU rRNA
Rfam family: Bacterial small subunit ribosomal RNA
Source: RNAcentral